Molecule: ribosomal RNA, 1170 nt
Filed under: Saccharomyces cerevisiae (brewer's yeast)
Lineage: Eukaryota; Fungi; Ascomycota; Saccharomycetes; Saccharomycetales; Saccharomycetaceae
Source: RNAcentral
AUGAAAUUAAAAUUAUUAAAUAUAAUUUUAUCAAUAAUAAAUAAACUUAAUAAUAAUAAUAAUAUUAUUAUUAAUAAUCUAUUAGAUUCAUUAAUAAAUAAGAAAUUAUUAUUAAAGAAUAUAUUAUUAGAUAUAAAUAAUAAAAAAAUAAAUAAUAUAAAAAGAAUAUUAAAUAAUAAUAAUAUAAAUAUUAAUAAUAAAUUACAACAUUUAAAUAAUAUAAAUAAUUGAAAUCUACAAAUUUAUAAUUAUAAUAAAAAUAUAGAAAUUAUAAAUACUAUAAAUGAUAAAUUAAUUAAUAAAUUAUUAUAUAAAAUAAUAACUUUAAAAUUAAAUAAUAUAAAUAUUAAUAAAAUUAUUAUAAGUAAACUUAUUAAUCAACAUAGUUUAAAUAAAUUAAAUAUUAAAUUUUAUUAUUAUAAUAAUGAUAUUAAUAAUAAUAAUAAUAAUAAUAAUAAUAAUAAUAAUUAUUAUAUAAAUAUAAUAAAUAAAUUAAUAAAUAUUAUAAAUAAUAAUAUAAAUAAUAAUUUAUGUAAUAUUUUAAGUUAUUAUUAUAAUAAAAAAGUAACUAUUGAACCUAUUAAAUUAUCAUAUAUUUAUUUAAAUAGUGAUAUUUUUAGUAAAUAUAUUAGUUUAAAUGAUAUAGAUAAAUAUAAUAAUGGUAUCUUAACUAAUUAUCAACGUAUAUUAAAUAAUAUUAUGCCUAAAUUAAAUGAUCAUAAUAUUUCUAUAAAUUAUAUUAAUAAUAUUAAUAAUAUUAAUAAUAAUAAAUAUAAUAAUAUAAUUAAUUUAUUAAAUAAUAAUAAUAAUAUUAAUAAUUAUAAUAAUUAUAAUAAUUAUAAUAAUAAUAAUAAUAAUAAUAAUUAUAUUGGUAAUAUUAAUAAUAUUUAUAAUAAUAUAACUAUUGAUAAUAUUCCUAUAGAUAUUUUAAUAUAUAAAUAUUUAGUUGGUUGAUCUAUUAAAUUUAAAGGUAGAUUAAGUAAUAAUAAUGGUAGAACUAGUACACUUAAUUUAUUAAAUGGUACUUUUAAUAAUAAAAAAUAUUUAUGAAGUAAUAUUAAUAAUAAUUAUAAAUUAAAUUAUAUCCCUUCUAAUCAUAAUUUAUAUAAUAAUUCUAAUAUUAAUAAAAAUGGUAAAUAUAAUAUUAAAGUUAAAUUAAACUUUAUUUAA